This 496-nucleotide ribosomal RNA is filed under the name uncultured bacterium. RNAcentral's name for it is "bacterial SSU rRNA". It matches the Rfam family "Bacterial small subunit ribosomal RNA", at positions 29 to 502 of the family's 1533-position model. The record is from RNAcentral.
AACAAACGCUGGCGGCGUGCCUAACACAUGCAAGUCGAACGCGAAAAUCGGCUUCGGCCGAUGAGUAAAGUGGCGCACGGGUGAGUAACGCGUGGAUAAUCUACCCUUCAGUUGGGAAUAACUUAUCGAAAGGUGAGCUAAUACCGAAUAAAAACUGCCUGACCACGGUCGGGUAGUCAAAGAUAGCCUCUGCUUGCAAGCUUUCGCUGAAUGAUGAGUCCGCGUACCAUUAGCUAGUUGGUGGGGUAAUGGCCUACCAAGGCGACGAUGGUUAGCUGGUCUGAGAGGAUGAUCAGCCACACUGGAACUGAGACACGGUCCAGACUCCUACGGGAGGCAGCAGUGAGGAAUCUUGCGCAAUGGGGAAACCCUGACGCAGCAACGCCGCGUGAGUGAGGAAGGUCUUCGGAUCGUAAAGCUCUGUCGGGUGGAAAGAAAUGUAGUGGGUUAAUAGCCUUCAUACUUGACGGUACCACCAAAGGAGCACCGGCUAACG